Molecule: ribosomal RNA, 505 nt
Filed under: uncultured Enterococcus sp.
Lineage: Bacteria; Bacillati; Bacillota; Bacilli; Lactobacillales; Enterococcaceae
Description: bacterial SSU rRNA
Rfam family: Bacterial small subunit ribosomal RNA
Source: RNAcentral
AAGUCUGACGGAGCAACGCCGCGUGAGUGAAGAAGGUUUUCGGAUCGUAAAACUCUGUUGUUAGGGAAGAACAAGGACGAGAGUAACUGCUCGUCCCUUGACGGUAUCUAACCAGAAAGCCACGGCUAACUACGUGCCAGCAGCCGCGGUAAUACGUAGGUGGCAAGCGUUGUCCGGAAUUAUUGGGCGUAAAGCGMGCGCAGGCGGUCUUUUAAGUCUGAUGUGAAAGCCCCCGGCUCAACCGKGGAGGGUCAUUGGAAACUGGGGGACUUGAGUGCAGAAGAGAAGAGUGGAAUUCCAUGUGUAGCGGUGAAAUGCGUAGAGAURUGGAGGAACACCAGUGGCGAAGGCGRCUCUYUGGUCUGUAACUGACGCUGAGGCUCGAAAGCGUGGGGAGCAAACAGGAUUAGAUACCCUGGUAGUCCACGCCGUAAACGAUGAGUGCUAAGUGUUGGAGGGUUUCCGCCCUUUAGUGCUGCAGCUAACGCAUUAAGCACUCCGCCUG